CCAGUGCCCUACUUUUUCUCAGUCCCUGCCUGGCAGAUACAUAGGAAGACACGUUUUCCCAUCUUCCCAAGAAUUUUGGGAGAAUGAAUGGCGAUUUUCGACAGAGUAGUGUGAGGCAAUCUGGCCUUUCAUCAAAAAAAAAAAUAAUGGACAAAAGAAACAAGUCUGGGGAAUGUGGAGUAGGUUCUGUGAAUUGUAUUCUGAGCUUUCUGUCAGAUGGAGUAUAGGUUUAGGCUGAUAUUUCUAACAAUGGGCCACAACAACUGGACCAUCUGCAACGGAAUUAAAUUUCCAUGAAGAUCACAAUUCCUGAGAGUCAAAGAUAUCAGAACAUUAGUUUUCCCAUCCCCAAGGGAGGAUAUGCUUCCACCCUAGUCCUGCGUGCUAUGGAGAAAGAAAAUAACGAACCACAGUUGCACUUGAAGUUUACCCACCAACAAGGAGAGAGCCUGAUAACACUGAUACUGUGGACUACUUUAAUACAGCCUAAGUCCGGGCUCUGCAUGGUGCUCAUUGACAUUUUGACGUCGGAACCACGACAGAAAUCAGCAAAAGGUUCAUUUAUUACAUGCUGUUGUUACUAAGGUGAGGCAAAGCCUUGCCCCAUAUAGAGACAGGUAGGAUGUGAUGGCAGUACAUAAACUCGCUUUUCCCUGUCCUGUGUGUCUUUGCCUGCAGAGGUCUCUCCUGCAGGAAAUACUUUCACAUGCUUCUUUAAAAGCACCUGUUCCUCACAUCUAGAUCAGCUGUGAAAAGAGGCUUCUCCAAGUCAGUCUGAGUGCUCCCACUACCAACUCAGAGCUGCAACACCAUAGGAUCCUCCAGCCACAAUGAAGGGUAGGUCCCUUUGAGGAGUUAGACGAAAGUGCCCGUUCUCAGAAGUGAUUUAGAACAGAAGGUUGAGAAGUGAGAGUCAACACCCAAGUGCUUCUUCCUGGAGAAAGCAACCAGAUCUCCCUGUUAAACAGUGUAGUCUAUCACAGGACCCA
Molecule: non-coding RNA, 989 nt
Organism: Rattus norvegicus (Norway rat)
Lineage: Eukaryota; Metazoa; Chordata; Mammalia; Rodentia; Muridae
Source: RefSeq, a predicted model, not a curated record